GUCUUAACUCAGGGGCAAACAUCUGCCUGGAGAAUUGCAGUGAACACAGAGCCUCUGAUUUAACAACCCCAAAGUGACCAACUCUCAGAUAUGACUCUGGAUUGAACAGAUAAGGAGGUGCCAGUAACAUGACAUAUAAUACCAAAAACAACAAUCAGAUAUGCAGAUAUGCUGACCUCAGAAGACCAGUCAGAAACCCCUUGCCAUGAAGCUGUUCAAUUCUUUUUGGGAGCAUUUGGCCUUCUAGACAUCCUGAGAGUUUCUGGGCAAGAAUGUCAUGAAUCACCAUUGUGAGUAAAGCAUCACAGAAGACAUACGCUAUCUUCCACUAUUCGUGGCAGACUGGUAGAAGAGCUCUAAAGGUGAGGUUGAUUUCAGA
RNAcentral lists this long non-coding RNA (379 nucleotides) under Cyanistes caeruleus (blue tit). Its description in RNAcentral is "lncRNA (ENSCCEG00000017378.1)". Lineage: Eukaryota; Metazoa; Chordata; Aves; Passeriformes; Paridae. The record is from RNAcentral.